This 155-nucleotide ribosomal RNA is filed under the name uncultured Flavobacteriaceae bacterium. Its description in RNAcentral is "partial 16S ribosomal RNA". It matches the Rfam family "Bacterial small subunit ribosomal RNA", at positions 343 to 495 of the family's 1533-position model. Lineage: Bacteria; Pseudomonadati; Bacteroidota; Flavobacteriia; Flavobacteriales; Flavobacteriaceae. The record is from RNAcentral.
CGGAGGCAGCAGUGAGGAAUAUUGGACAAUGGAGGCAACUCUGAUCCAGCCAUGCCGCGUGCAGGAAAACGCGCCUACGGGUUGUAAACUGCUUUUAUACAGGAAAAAUUGUGCCUACGUGUAGGUAUUUGACGGUACUGUACGAAUAAGGAUCG